UAGGGAAUCUUCGGCAAUGGACGAAAGGUCUGACCGAGCAACGCCGCGUGAGUGAAGAAGGUUUUCGGAUCGUAAAACUCUGUUGGUAGAGAAGAACGUUGGUGAGAGUGGAAAGCUCAUCAAGUGACGGUAACUACCCAGAAAGGGACGGCUAACUACGUGCCAA
RNAcentral lists this ribosomal RNA (166 nucleotides) under uncultured bacterium. RNAcentral's name for it is "partial 16S ribosomal RNA". It matches the Rfam family "Bacterial small subunit ribosomal RNA", at positions 355 to 511 of the family's 1533-position model. The record is from RNAcentral.